RNAcentral lists this ribosomal RNA (468 nucleotides) under uncultured bacterium. Its description in RNAcentral is "partial 16S ribosomal RNA". It matches the Rfam family "Bacterial small subunit ribosomal RNA", at positions 28 to 507 of the family's 1533-position model. The record is from RNAcentral.
GACGAACGCUGGCGGCGUGCUUAACACAUGCAAGUCGAACGGUAAGGCCCUGCUUUGGUGGUGUGCUCGAGUUGCGAACGGGUGAGUAACACGUGAGUAACCUGCCCUUUAGUGGGGGAUAACUUCUGGAAACGGUGGCUAAUACCGGAUAGUAGCUCCUGCUGCAUGGUGGGGGUUUGAAAGUUUCGGCGGUUGGGGUUGGACUCGCGGCUUAUCAGCUUGUUGGUGGUGUAGUGGAUUACCAAGGCUUUGACGGGUAGCCGGCCUGAGAGGGUGACAGGCCACAUUGGGACUGAGAUACGGGCAAGACUCCUACGGGAGGCAGCAGUGGGGAAUAUUGCACAAUGGGCGGAAGCAUGAUGCAGCAACGCCGCGUGCGGGAUGACGGCCUUCGGGUUGUAACCAGCUUUAGCGUGUGACGAAGAGUGAGUGACGGUAAUGGGUAAAGAAGCAACGGCUAACUACGUG